UUUGAAUUUGAAUUAUAAAACAAGAUAUGUUGGUGGAAUGGUGGUGUUAUCUUCGUUAUUGAUCAUCUGGUCUUCCUUUUCUUUCAUAAUCUGCAUUCUCCAUUCUUUUACUUGAAUUUGUGAUGCAUAUAUAAUGAAACAGAGACUUCAUCACCACCUUCCAUCGAUUCCCCAACUUCCCAUAUGACUCAAUCACAUUAUGUCUUUUUCCUCACUUUGAAUGCAAUUGAAUCACAAGCCAUGAAUCCAUUUAAGAUACUUGUUGUUAUUUGUAAAUCGUAUCAUUACAAGAUGAUUUUAGGUAAAAUACCGUAACCAACACCUUUGGACUUCACAUAGACAGAGAAGAAGUUGAAGCCUUAAUCGAAUCCUAAGAUUAGGAGGAAGUCAAGGAACCUACCUAAUCAAAUUAAUCAACAUCAUUUGAAACUGAUCAAGGUUAGUUAAAUAGAAAAUACGUGAUCGAAAGUUGUGAUAAAUAUAUAUGAAGGUGAUCUCAAAAUGUUGAGGCUGGGAGAGAGAUCAAAUAAAACAUUUGAACAAGGUUGGAAAAAAGUGUCAGGACCUACCCCGGAUUUCCCCUUGAAAUCCGGAAUAAACCCUGCGGGACCCACUUCAAGGGAAAUUAUACCAAAUUUUUAGCAUAACCUCUCUUGAAAAUGGGUAACCCUACCUGAAAGAAACUCACCAAAAACCCAAACACUUCUAAAUCAAUUUAAUCCACAUCUUCUGGAGCCAUCCGCUCCACCAAAUAAUCAUCCACCACAUCACAAACAUAAUACCUCAAUCAAUCCCAUAAAUUGAUUUCUCAUACAAUCUCACCAAAUCAAUCUUUGAGUCAUAUGCUCUUAACACACAUCAUCAUAUAUUCAUUAAAACAUCUCAUGGUAAUCAGAGCAACUACUUGGAGGAAACGAGAAAAAUAUACAAGUAGGUUAAACUAGUAACCUACGAGAGAAAACCGGAUGAGGUGGAAAAUGUGACUCGCCUCCUACACUCGCCGAACCGAACUCUGCAGACUGGGCAAUUAAAAACAAAAGGCCCAGGGGAGAAGCAUUUAAAACGUUAGCGUGAGUGGACAAAAAUAAUUAAUAAUAAUAUUGACUUAAAUAUGGAGCAAUGAAAUCAAAGCGAUGCUCUCCCAAAUUUUCCAUUUGCGAUAAAUAUUUAUGCAUGCCACUCUUGGAAAAUCUUCAAAAAUAUUUAUGGACAAAAAUGAUGAACCAAUCCCAUUGGUUCCCAAUAAAUCAUAAAAUGGGGAAAAGGUUUCACCAUAACGAUGAGCCUCCCAGGCUAUAAUAGCGUCCCACACUAAGCGCUCUACUCACAUAGAUGAAGACCACUAAUAAAGUAAUAAUAGCGUCUCACGCUAAGCGCUCAACUUACAUAUGAUGAGGACCGCUAAAUACUGCCUAGCUAACAAUAAAUAUAUAUAUAUAUAUAUAUAUAUAUANN
This 1455-nucleotide long non-coding RNA is filed under the name Fragaria vesca (wild strawberry). RNAcentral describes it as "long non-coding RNA (FVES_LNC002497)". The record is from RNAcentral. Lineage: Eukaryota; Viridiplantae; Streptophyta; Magnoliopsida; Rosales; Rosaceae.